UAUGAGAACCUCGUGAUUCUUAGACAGUGGCAGAGCAAACAGAACUGUGACUUAUGUUUCCUAGUUUACAGAGCUGAUUUCAUGGGCUUUCGACAGGAGUAUCUGAGAAUCACAGUUCUUCCUGACGCUGGAGUGUGCGGAGGGCAGAUGUCCCAUAAGCCACGCUCUCUGAUUUGUUUUCAGGGCCCUCCAGUGGCCCCGCCAUGGACGGAAGUCAUUGGAAGAAGGGGAGAUGCCAGAGAAAUCGGCAAAGCAGAGCGAGCGCCUGCCUCAUCUCCCUCCCUGGACUCCAUGGGACAGCUCUGGCCACUCCUGCUGGCCUGAACGCCACCGAGUCCUUGCUUCCCGGCCAGGUCCCCGCUGAAGGGUGGAGUGAGGACACAGCAAGGAGGUGGCUGUCUGUAAGCCAGGAAGAGAACCUCACCAGAACCUGACCCUGCUGACACUCUGAUCUUGGACAUCCAGCCUCUGGAACUGUGAGAAACAGCUUCUGUUGUUGAAGUCACUCAGUCUGUGGUAUUUUGUGAUGACAGCCUGAGAUGACUAGUACACAAAGUAACUUCAUACAAAGCAAGGCCGUAUGAACUGCAGGACAGACACCCUGGUGGCAAUGGGGUGUGGACAGAAGACAGAAGGACCAUGAGCAGAGGACAGAGGACCAAAAAGCAGAAGAGAAAAGUAGGUGAUGGGUCACCAGAAUCCAUCCUGGACUCGAUGGAAGCUGAGGGAGGCUUUAGAGGUCCUCAGCUUCAGAGUCAUGGUGAGGGGUCACUCACAACAUUUCCAGCCUUCAGUCCCUCCAGUCCUAAAUCUUGGAAGUGUGCCCCAUGACAAAGCACAUGUCUUUACAGCAGCGUGGGUUGGUUUUGCUUCAAUGUGGACGGCACGGAGCUGCGGAAGACGCUUGGGUCGGUGGUGUGCCUGGUCCCGAGAAACUUCUUGCUAUGAUCGCAGGAAAGCAGCUCUGGAGGAGCUGCCGGUAUGGAUGCUCCCCAACGUCCUUCCCGCCUCUCCCGGCAACCCCAAACCCUCACUUUGGUGUUGCUAUUUUCUUCUACAAAAUGUGGAGCUUUUCAAAAGACAUUCAAUUUCCUUUGUUGUUAUUCAGUUGCCAUAGUCAAUUAAAAUCUAUCAAUGCCCCUGAAUACAUUUGUGCUAGGUGAAGAAAGAACCUCGGUGCAAUCUCCCGACAUGAUCUCUAUUACCUCAUGUUACUUUAAUAGCUAGAGUAAUAGUUUGUUAUUAAUGGAAUUAAGCAAUUUAGUUCAAGCUUCCCAGAGGUCUUAUAAGACAACUAUUAUAAUUUGUAUUCUCAGAUUUUCCAUUGAGUAGAUGCCAUGUGUUUUACAUUACUUGCUAAUGUUUCGAGAGAUAGCAGUAGUAUAUUUAAUA
Molecule: non-coding RNA, 1392 nt
Organism: Vicugna pacos (alpaca)
Lineage: Eukaryota; Metazoa; Chordata; Mammalia; Artiodactyla; Camelidae
Source: RefSeq, a predicted model, not a curated record